CAUGCUAGAGCACUUUUUCAAUGUGCUCCCCAAUGAAAAGGCGACGACGCAUUCGUAUGUCAAUCCUUAUCAACUUUUGAUGCCAUUGUUGCGCAUACCAUGGUGACCAUGGGUAACGGGGAAUCAGGGUUCAAUUCCAUACAGGGACCCUGACAAAUGGCUACCACAUGCAAGGAAAGCAG
Non-coding RNA from Pelobates cultripes (western spadefoot toad), 182 nucleotides. The record is from the annotation of a GenBank genome assembly. Lineage: Eukaryota; Metazoa; Chordata; Amphibia; Anura; Pelobatidae.